GACGAACGCUGGCGGCGUGCUUAACACAUGCAAGUCGAACGGAAAGGCCCUGCUUUUGUGGGGUGCUCGAGUGGCGAACGGGUGAGUAACACGUGAGUAACCUGCCCUUGACUUUGGGAAAACUUCAGGAAACUGGGGCUAAUACCGGAUAGGAGCUCCUGCUGCAUGGUGGGGGUUGGAAAGUUUCGGCGGUUGGGGAUGGACUCGCGGCUUCUCAGCUUGUUGGUGGGGUAGUGGCUUACCAAGGCUUUGACGGGUAGCCGGCCUGAGAGGGUGCGCGGACACUGUGGGACUGAGAUACGGCCCAGACUCAUACGGGAGGGAGCAGGGGGAUAUAUUGCAAAAUGGGCGGAAGCCUGAUGCAGCAACGCCGCGUGCGGGAUGACGGCCUUCGGGUUGUAAACCGCUUUCGCCGGUGACGAAGCGUGAGUGACGGUAAUGGGUAAAGAAGCACCGGCUAACUACGUG
This 468-nucleotide ribosomal RNA is filed under the name uncultured bacterium. Its description in RNAcentral is "partial 16S ribosomal RNA". It matches the Rfam family "Bacterial small subunit ribosomal RNA", at positions 28 to 507 of the family's 1533-position model. The record is from RNAcentral.